AUACGUAGGGUGCAAGCGUUAUCCGGAAUUAUUGGGCGUAAAGAGCUCGUAGGCGGUUUGUCGCGUCUGGUGUGAAAGUCCAUCGCUUAACGGUGGAUCUGCGCCGGGUACGGGCAGGCUGGAGUGCAGUAGGGGAGACUGGAAUUCCCGGUGUAACGGUGGAAUGUGUAGAUAUCGGGAAGAACACCAAUGGCGAAGGCAGGUCUCUGGGCUGUUACUGACGCUGAGGAGCGAAAGCGUGGGGAGCGAACAGGAUUAGAUACCCUGGUAGUCCACGCCGUAAACGGUGGACGCUGGAUGUGGGGCCCAUUCCACGGGUUCCGUGUCGGAGCUAACGCGUUAAGCGUCCCGCCUGGGGAGUACGGCCGCAAGGCUAAA
This 378-nucleotide ribosomal RNA is filed under the name uncultured bacterium. RNAcentral describes it as "bacterial SSU rRNA". It matches the Rfam family "Bacterial small subunit ribosomal RNA", at positions 523 to 898 of the family's 1533-position model. The record is from RNAcentral.